RNAcentral lists this ribosomal RNA (448 nucleotides) under uncultured bacterium. Its description in RNAcentral is "partial 16S ribosomal RNA". It matches the Rfam family "Bacterial small subunit ribosomal RNA", at positions 29 to 523 of the family's 1533-position model. The record is from RNAcentral.
AACGAACGCUGGCGGCAUGCCUAACACAUGCGAGUCGAACGAGAUCUUCGGGUCUAGUGGCGCACGGGUGCGUAACGCGUGGGAAUCUGCCCUUUGGUUCGGAAUAACAGUUGGAAACGACUGCUAAUACCGGAUGAUGACGAAAGUCCAAGAUUUAUCGCCAGAGGAUGAGCCCGCGUAGGAUUAGCUAGUUGGUGUGGUAAAGGCGCACCAAGGCGACGAUCCUUAGCUGGUCUGAGAGGAUGAUCAGCCACACUGGGACUGAGACACGGCCCAGACUCCUACGGGAGGCAGCAGUGGGGAAUAUUGGACAAUGGGCGAAAGCCUGAUCCAGCAAUGCCGCGUGAGUGAUGAAGGCCUUAGGGUUGUAAAGCUCUUUUACCCGGGAUGAUAAUGACAGUACCGGGAGAAUAAGCUCCGGCUAACUCCGUGCCAGCCGCCGCAGUAA